GACGAACGCUGGCGGCGUGCUUAACACAUGCAAGUCGAACGAAGAGCGAUGGAAGCUUGCUUCUAUCAAUCUUAGUGGCGAACGGGUGAGUAACGCGUAAUCAACCUGCCCUUCAGAGGGGGACAACAGUUGGAAACGACUGCUAAUACCGCAUACGAUCUAAUCUCGGCAUCGAGGAUAGAUGAAAGGUGGCCUCUACAUGUAAGCUAUCAGGGAAGGAGGGGAUUGCGGCUGAUUAGCUAGUUGGAGGGGUAACGGCCCACAAAGGCGAGGAUGGGUAGACGGUCUGAGAGGGUGACAGGCCAAAUUGGGACGGAGAUACGGCCCAGAGUCCUACGGGAGGCAGCAGUGGGGAAUAUUGCACAAUGGGCGGAAGCAUGAUGCAGCAACGUCGCGUGGGGGAUGACGGCCUUAGGGUUGUAAACCGCGUUCGCAGGUGACGAAGCGUGAGUGACGGUAAUGGGUAAAGAAGCACCGGCUAACUACGUG
RNAcentral lists this ribosomal RNA (489 nucleotides) under uncultured bacterium. Its description in RNAcentral is "partial 16S ribosomal RNA". It matches the Rfam family "Bacterial small subunit ribosomal RNA", at positions 28 to 507 of the family's 1533-position model. The record is from RNAcentral.